CGAUGGAUAGUAUGAAUGGUUAAACGAAUAUUACACUGUCUCAAGUAAAAAUUUUAUGAAAUUAAGAUAAUAGUUAAGACGCUAUUUCAAACUGUAAGACGAAAAGACCCUAUAGAGCUUAACUAUAAACUUUUUUGAUAAAGAUCAUCAAAAAAUGAUUAUAAAAGAAAGUUAGGUAGUUUAGUUGGGGCGACUGUCUUCUAAAAAGAACGAAGACUAGCAAAGUUAAUAAAAAUAACUUAUUGUUUAAUAAAUUUAUUUAACAAUUACAAAAGUAGGCUAUAAUGACCCAUUGAACUUAAGAAAGUAAAUCAAUGAUUAAAAAAUAAAAGCUACCUUAGGGAUAACAGGAUAAUUUUGUUUUAGAGAUCAUAUCGAAGACAAAGUUUGUCACCUCUAUGUUGAAUUGAGAUAUCCUGAUAAUGCAGAAGUUAUCAAAGGUAGGUCUGUUCGACCUUUAAAAUC
Molecule: ribosomal RNA, 465 nt
Filed under: Turritopsis dohrnii
Lineage: Eukaryota; Metazoa; Cnidaria; Hydrozoa; Anthoathecata; Oceaniidae
Description: partial 16S ribosomal RNA
Rfam family: Bacterial large subunit ribosomal RNA
Source: RNAcentral